CUGCAGCACCUAUUGCAAUAACACAGCAUCUAUCGUGACACUGCAGCACCUAUAGUGAUAACACAACAUCUAUCGUGACACUGCAGCACCUAUCGCGAUAACACUGCGUCUAUUGCGACGCCGCAGCACCUAUCGCGACGCCGCUGCAUCCCCCUCAGCCUGGCGCUUGUCCCGCUUGGACCCCCCCAUGCAGGGGGGCGGUUGGGGUAUAUUGGGGUCCCUCUCCCACUGCUGGGGGGUCCGGGCGACGAUGCUGAGCGCGUGCAGCGGCCCCCGGAGCUCCGCGCCCAGCACGGCGUGCACCAGGCGGUGUCGCUCAAUGGGGCUGAGCCCCUCGAAGCGCCCGCUGACCACCAGCAGCCCGAAGUGAGUCUCGGAGCCGGGGGGGGCGCCGUGCCGGGGGGAGUGGUCCUCCAGGUGGAGGUGGGUGGGCUGCAGGGCUGCCGUCAGCUUGGAGAGGAUGGAGCGGGCGACGGGGCCGGAGGGCAGCGCUGAGAGGGUCGGGGGCGGCAUCGGGGCACGCUCCGCAGCAGCACCGCUGCGCCGCGGGGCACGA
This 556-nucleotide long non-coding RNA is filed under the name Gallus gallus (chicken). The record is from RNAcentral. Lineage: Eukaryota; Metazoa; Chordata; Aves; Galliformes; Phasianidae.